AUGAACGCUGGCGGCGUGCCUAAUACAUGCACGUCGAGCGAACGGACGAGAAGCUUGCUUCUCUGAUGUUAGCGGCGGACGGGUGAGUAACACGUGGAUAACCUACCUAUAAGACUGGGAUAACUUCGGGAAACCGGAGCUAAUACCGGAUAAUAUUUUGAACCGCAUGGUUCAAAAGUAAAAGACGGUCUUGCUGUCACUUAUAGAUGGAUCCGCGCUGCAUUAGCUAGUUGGUAAGGUAAAGGCUUACCAAGGCAACGAUGCAUAGCCGACCUGAGAGGGUGAUCGGCCACACUGGAACUGAGACACGGUCCAGACUCCUACGGGAGGCAGCAGUAGGGAAUCUUCCGCAAUGGGCGAAAGCCUGACGGAGCAACGCCGCGUGAGUGAUGAAGGUCUUCGGAUCGUAAAACUCUGUUAUUAGGGAAGAACAUAUGUGUAAGUAACUGUGCACAUCUUGACGGUACCUAAUCAGAAAGCCACGGCUAACUACGUG
Molecule: ribosomal RNA, 496 nt
Filed under: uncultured bacterium
Lineage: Bacteria
Description: partial 16S ribosomal RNA
Rfam family: Bacterial small subunit ribosomal RNA
Source: RNAcentral